UAAGACGUAGGAUGCGAGCGUUGUCCGGAUUUAUUGGGCGUAAAGAGUUCGUAGGUGGUUCGUUAAGUCUGGUGUAAAAGACUGGGGCUCAACCCUGGGAUCGCACUGGAUACUGGCGGACUGGAGUGUGGUAGAGGCAAGUGGAAUUCCCAGUGUAGCGGUGAAAUGCGUAGAUAUUGGGAAGAACACCGGUGGCGCAAGCGACUUGCUGGGCCAUAACUGACACUGAGGAACGAAAGCUAGGGGAGCGAAUGGGAUUAGAUACCCCAGUAGUCCUAGCUGUAAACGAUGGAUACUAGACGUAUCGGGUAUCGACCCCUGAUGUGUCGCAGCAAACGCGAUAAGUAUCCCGCCUGAGUAGUACGGCCGCAAGGUUG
This 377-nucleotide ribosomal RNA is filed under the name uncultured bacterium. RNAcentral describes it as "bacterial SSU rRNA". It matches the Rfam family "Bacterial small subunit ribosomal RNA", at positions 521 to 896 of the family's 1533-position model. The record is from RNAcentral.